This 174-nucleotide long non-coding RNA is filed under the name Monodelphis domestica (gray short-tailed opossum). RNAcentral's name for it is "lncRNA (ENSMODG00000037102.1)". Lineage: Eukaryota; Metazoa; Chordata; Mammalia; Didelphimorphia; Didelphidae. The record is from RNAcentral.
UCACAUUGGUGGACAUUGUGAAUGAUUUUCAUGAAGACUUUAAAGAGGAAAAAAUCAUCCUUGAGGGCAAACCAUCUGAUACUAUAGAAAGUGUCAAGGCCAAGAUAUAAGAUCAGGAAGAUAUUCCUCCUUAUCAAAAAAAUGAAUUUUUGUGGGCAAGCAACUGGGAGAUGG